Molecule: ribosomal RNA, 420 nt
Filed under: uncultured bacterium
Lineage: Bacteria
Description: bacterial SSU rRNA
Rfam family: Bacterial small subunit ribosomal RNA
Source: RNAcentral
GAGGAAUAUUGGUCAAUGGACGAGAGUCUGAACCAGCCAAAUCGCGUGAAGGAAGACUGCCCUACGGGUUGUAAACUUCUUUUGUACAGGAAUAAAAGACAUUACGUGUAAUGUAUUGCAUGUACUGUACGAAUAAGCAUCGGCUAACUCCGUGCCAGCAGCCGCGGUAAUACGGAGGAUGCGAGCGUUAUCCGGAUUUAUUGGGUUUAAAGGGUGCGCAGGCGGGAUUUUAAGUCAGCGGUGAAAUUUUCAGGCUCAACCUGAACACUGCCGUUGAAACUGGGAUUCUUGAGUAUGGAUGAAGUAGGCGGAAUUCGUUGUGUAGCGGUGACAUGCUUAGAUAUAACGAGGAACUCCGAUUGCGUAGGCAGCUUACUAAGCCAUAACUGACGCUCAAGCACGAAAGCGUGGGGAUCAAAC